CCGCACCCUCUCCCUCCGUCCAUUCGUCAGCCCCCACCCCCAAUCCCACCCCGUGCCCGCUGUCUCCGCCGCCUCGCCACCCCAUCUUCCCCCUUCCUCCCGCGCCUGCCGCCGCCGCCCCUCUUUCCUCCCCUGCGCCAAGCCUGCCGCCGCCCCCGGUGACGAGGACCUCAGCGAUAAUCCAGUUCCCCUCUUGCGACGAUGGCGAGGACGAGAGGAGGUGGGAUGAGGACCGGGCGAGGAGGAGUGCAUCUCACUCCCCGUCUGCCAGCACUGCCCUCCAUCGUGCUCUCCCCUCUCCAACCCCGGCCGCCCCGAGCCCUCCAAGUGCACAUACCGGCCCCAAACCAAGAGGUUGGCCCCAGAUCGAGGCGCCCCUGACCUCCGUCCGUGGAGCUUCCCCAAUCUGCCGCCCCCUUCAAGCUGUCGACUGAGACUCAGGCGAGCGCCGUGGAGGCGAGUCAAGCGGGCUCCAGCGGUGCUAUGGAUGGGAUAUUUACCGCCGUCGCUGUGAGGGCUGCCACGAUCUAAGGUUCAUGCCAAUCAAUUUUUCUGGCUGAUCUAAUUGAUGCAAUCCUCCAGACAUUUAUCUCCAUACUCAGUAUAGCAGUGUAUUACUCUAAAGACGACAUCUAGAUUGGGCAAGUAAGCGUUUCUGAUCAUUUGUGAAAUUUGUCUGUUUGACAGGGAAACAUUUUGCCAAGCAUUGCAGGCUGAAAUCUGUCACAAAUCUCAUCUUUUGGAUUCUUGCGGAACUUCUUUUGACAUUCCUAAAGGUAUUGAGAUUAGCUCCAUGUGCACAUUUUUUUAAUUUAAAUUUAAGCAAAGAGGUACGCUUAUUAUAAGAUUCAGCCAUGUAGUAAUACUGCACAUGUGUAAUACUAAUUCUUUACUAUAUAAAUUGGAAACCAUAGGAAUCUUUUUCAAUUUGGCAUAUCAAAGAACAACUCAUAUUGAAUUCUCCUGGUAAUUUAUUUUUGUAAGAUGCUGGUUUACUCUUUAUAGUAUCUGGACCUAUUUUUUCAAUUGUGUGGUGUUCUCAUAAAUGGACUUGGCACUCUAAUGGUCUUGUUACUACAACAAUAUUGAGUAAUAAAAAUUUCCUAUUCCGGUUAGCAGAUCUUCUGGGCACAAGUUUGGGUAUGAGCAAUUCCUUCUCUCACUUGGAGAAUGUCUCAUUUGAUCAUACCAUUCUGUAGUUUAACUUCACUAAUAUCAAUACAGUAGCUGGUUGUUCUUCUUUCUUUAGAAAAUUUUAAGCACGUGUAUAUAUUUUUUUAAGGGGCUCAUUCAUCAGCCCUAAGCACACAUUGCAUUAGAUGCUUGCAAACAAGGUGCUCACACAAGAGUUUUUUCGAUUUUAAUCAAUAAUUUUGUGCUAAUAAUUUUGAUUUUGCCUUGCCUUCCUGUCAGGAGUAAUUUCUUAAGAAUUCCUACAAGGAAUAACUGCCUCAUUGGAAAUUAUUGUAGAAGUGUGGAAGGAUAAGGGGAUAUUACAACAACAAACAAGAAGAGGCUUCAUGAUCAUUUGAGUUAGAACUACAACCCAAAAAAUAAAUGGUCUGUCAAGUUAUUAAUAUUCUGGUUUCAUACUGCAAAAAUAGAAAAGUGAUUAAAACCCUCCCAAGUAGUCUGUCCUGCUGCACUUUCUUUUCUAUAAUCCUGAUGCCAUUUUGUUUCAUGUGCCUGGAAGUGAUGGGAGAAGGUGGAGGAGAAGGCCUUUAGAAGUUCUUAAUUUGCAGGUUCAUUUUUUUUUUGCUACUUUCAGAGGAGCAACUGAUAUAAAUUGAUGGUUUCAUUAUCAUUUAAUAGGUACUAAUUUGUCAUGUGCAGGCUUCAGAGGAGCAACUGAUUUUUUUGAACAAUCUAGGAGCGUGGGGGGAAACUCGUUCUUGAUCAUCUCAUGUAAGAAGUUUGAUUCUUGCUUUACCUAAAUGAGUAGCUGGACCUUACAAGACUGAAUAUCCUUUCACUGUCAGCACAGCUCUUUGAUUGAUCCCACCUGUCUUGGUUUGACAAUUGAUUGUGUAUUGCCUGCUUAGUGCUUAGCAUGUAAAACAAUUGCCAUUGUUGAUGUGUAGAUAUAGUUUAGAAACCAAAUAUUCUGAAAUUGCAGCUGCUAUGGAUAGUUCUGAAAUUGUUCUGAAAAUGCAGCUGCUACACUAUAAUGGCAUCUUUCCGAAAAUUUAAAUGUCACUCAUAUAAGCUGCCAUCCUCAUUCUGUCAGUGACAACAUAGUGUGUACUUACUGAAUGUUCUAACUCAUAGCUUAUUAGAUGUAUCUAUAAACUCAGCCGUGGGCAAGAUUUCAUAUACAACCUUAACUUUCCCAGUUCUCAUGCAAGUAGUAGUGUUUUUACAAGUGCUAAUGAAAUCAUGGCCUAAUGCCAUGAUGUGCCUUAAAUAUUGUGAGUGAACGACAGGGUAAAUCGACAGGGUAACUUGCUAUAUUGUUGUUUGCACACGUUAGUAUUUUAAAGCAGCAUAGCCAUAUCUAUAAUAUUGAAUAGAAAAUUGCACUAUUCUUGUUUUUAAAGCAGCAUAGCCAUAUCUAUACUAUUGAAUAGAAAUUGCACUAUUCUUGUUUCUUGGAGAUGAGAUACCUUUGCGUGAUUCCUGAUAUUGUUCUGUAUUAUAGAAUGCUCAACACCUGAGAUGUAUUUUGAUUUUUCUAAUUUUUUUAUGCUCAUGUGAAGGUAAAGGUAAACGGGUAAGUUCAAAGUGUUAUAAAUGGUUUGCGAAAUUCUUUUUUUAUUUACUAUGCUAAACUCAGUAAUUAUUGAUCAUAUUUAUUUUUCCCAUCUAACGGGCAACAUAAUUGCCAAGGGCUCUCGGUAAUUGAACUUUUGCUAUUUUGUGACAUGUACAUGAGUUCUUUCUUGGACCAAAGAUGUUUCAGUAUGAUAUUUGCAGUGAUGUUGGAACUUGAUUAGUUGCUCUUGAGGCCUGAGCUGUGCUCAUUUGCUUUGUUGUGUUUAUAAGGAACAAUGGCCUAUAGGCUAUAUGUUGAUGGAUAAAUAUACUAGAGAAUGCCUGGCUGUCUGGUAACAAAUACUAAUUUUACAAAUGUCUACAUGGGAGAGUUAUGAAUCCAGGAUUCUAAUACUUUGGUAAAUAAACAAUUUUGCCAUGAUCAGUUGCUGAAUUUCAAUAAUACCCGGCCGAUCCCCUCGUCGCGCAGCUCCAUUACCAGGCCGGGGGUGUUCAGAACAUCAAGAGCUUGGUCCCCGUCGUCCUCGACCCUGAGUCGCCCUCCUACGCCCGCUGGCGGGACAUGGUGCUGCUCAUUCUCCGCCGCUACGCCCUUGAUGACCAUGUCCUCGUCGACACCUUCCCUGCGGCCCGGACAGCUACGUGGCUUCGCCUCGACAGCAUCGUCCUGUCGUGGAUCCUGGGCACCAUCUCCCUCGACCUCCACGACCUCGUCCGCGGCACCCCCGACACCACCGCCCGCCGGGCCUGGCUGGCGCUCGAGGCCCAGUUCCUGGGCAACGCCGAAGCCCGGGCUCUUCGUCUCGACGCCAGCUUCCGCACUUUCGUCCAGGGCGACCUCUCCGUUGGCGAGUUCUGCCGGAAGAUGAAGACCAUGGCGGACUCCCUCGGUGACCUUGGCUGGGCCGUGGAGGACCGGAUCUUGGUUCUCAACGUUCUUCGCGGCCUCAACGAGCGCUACGCCCACCUCCGCACCUGGAUCACCCGGCAGCGGCCCUUCCCCACCUUCCUGCAGGUCCGUGAUGACCUUGUCAUGGAGGAGCUUACUCAGGGCAUCCAGCCUGGGUCCCUUCCUGCGCCGGGCUCCGCGUCUUCCUCGACCGCUCUUGCUGUGACUCCACCGCCACGACCCUCCGCUUCGCCACCGUCGUCCCUUCUUGGUCCUCCUCCUCCUAGGGGGGGCCGUGGCGGCCGCCGUCGCCGCGGUGGGGGGUGUGGUGGGGGGCGUGGUGGGGGCACUCCGGCGGGCACACCGGCGCCUCCACGGGGCUCUCCCUGGCCGUCCUUUGCCAACCCAUGGUCAGGGCGCAUCUCUAUGUGGCCCUUCCAGGCCACCGGAGGCGAGCCUCAUCCUCCGACCGCCAUGCUCGCUGGCGCUGUCCCGGCUGCUCCGUUUGCGUCGCCGUGGGCUCCACCUCCCGGGGCCUCGCCUGGGCCUGUCGGGUGGGACCCGACAGCCUUGGCACGCUCUUUCGGCACCAUGGCCCUGACUCCUCCAAUCGGUCAGGACUGGAUCGCCGACUCAGGUGCCACUUUCCAUACUACACCCGACCCUGGUAUCCUCUCUUCCGUUCACCCUCCUUCUUCCUCCCACCCUUCGUCUAUCAUGGUCGCAAAUGGCUCUUGUCUUCCUAUCAUCUCCGUGGGUACAGCUCACACUCCCGGUUCUUUUCGGGUUUCUGAUGUUCUUGUUGCUCCCUCCAUGGUUCACAACCUUCUUUCUAUUCGCCGUUUUACCACUGACAAUUCCUGUUCUGUUGAAUUUGACUCCUCUGGUCUUACUGUGAAGGAUUUGGCUACCCGGCGACCUCUUCUCCGAUGUGACAGCACCGGGCCCCUUUACUCCCUCCGAUUUCCUGCGUCCACUUCUUCCGCUUCGCCCUCCGCUUCUUCAGCUGCUUUUGCCGCCACAGCUUCUUCCACUACAUGGCACCGGCGUCUUGGUCAUCCUGGCCGUGCUGUCCUGACAUAGCUUAGUCGUAGUUCCGACAUACCAUGUACUCGGGCUCAUGAUGAGCACCUGUGUCAGGCGUGCCAACUGGGCCGUCAUGUUCGACUUCCUUUUCCUACCUCCUCUUCACAUGCGACCCAUGUGUUUGAUCUUGUACAUUGCGAUCUAUGGACAUCGCUUGUUCUGAGCAUUUCUGGCUAUAAGUACUAUCUUGUUGUGGUUGAUGAUUUCUCUCAUUAUUCUUGGACUUUUCCCUUGCGUGCCAAGUCUGAUACUUUCCCCACGCUUCUCCACUUCUUCGCUUGGGUGUCCACUCAGUUCGGUCUCACCAUCAAGGCCGUCCAAUGUGACAACGGCCGCGAGUUUGAUAACACCACCUCCCGUGCCUUCUUCCUCUCUCACGGCGUGCACCUACGCAUGUCAUGUCCCUAUACCUCCUCCCAGAACGGUAAGGCUGAACGCAUGAUUCGUAUCACGAACGACACCAUGCGCUCUCUUCUGUUCUAGUCUUCUCUCCCUGCCCCCUUCUGGGCUGAGAGUCUUCACACCUCCACCUAUCUCCUUAACCGACUACCUUCCGUUGCCUGCCCCGCUCCCACUCCACACCACGCUCUCUUCGGUACCUCCCCCCGCUACGAUCACCUUCGGGUCUUCGGGUGUGCGUGUUAUCCUAACACCGCUGCCACCGCUCCUCAUAAGCUGGCUCCCCGUUCGACUCAGUGCGUCUUCCUCGGGUACUCCCCGGAUCACAAGGGGUACCGUUGCUUUGACCUCUCCUCUCGGCGGGUCCUCAUCUCUCGCCACGUGGUGUUUGACGAGUCCGUCUUCCCUUACUCAACCACCUCCCCACCUCCUUCCACCUCCGACCCUGAUCUCUCCUCCCUAUUUCCCACUGACCCGGUGGACCAGCCACCGCUACCGUUGUGUCCUGCAGGUACUGCUCCGCCGUGGUUCUCAUCGGGCUCGACGUCCACCGGUGCUGUCCCUGACCCUGCGCCCAGCGCGGGUCCGACGGUGCCGGCCUCUGGUGCUGCCUCUACCCCUUCGCCCUGCGCGGGACCGGUGGCACCGCCCGCAGCACCUGCUGUCCGGUUUGCGCAGCCCGUGCGCGUCUACCAGCGCCGGGCGCGGCCGGCUCCCCUGGACCUGCAGCCGGCCCCACCACCGCCGUCGCCGCCUCAGUCAUCGCCGGUGGACUCUUCUCCGUCGGCGACGCCUACACCACCACCACUUCUGCCGGCCCCGACUGCCCGUGUCACGCCGUCGGUGUACCAUCCGCCUCUCCUACACUAGCACCCGCGUCACGUUCACCCUAUAGUGACGCGACUUGCGGCUGGUACCCUGCAGCCCCGAGCUCUUUCAGCGAUGCUGGCGCGUCGCAGGUUUCUCCUGUACCCUCCUCCGUCCGCGGCGCCCUGUCGGAUUCUCACUGGCGCCGCGCGAUGGAAGAGGAGUACGCGGCGCUCCUCGCCAACCAGACUUGGGAUCUGGUGCCCCGUCCGCCUGGCUCCAACGUCGUCACCGGCAAGUGGAUCUGGACACACAAGCGGCGGGCUGAUGGUACCCUCGAGCGGUACAAGGCUCGCUGGGUUCUCCGGGGUUUCACUCAGCGCCCUGGUGUCGACUACGAUGAGACGUUCAGUUCGGUGGUCAAGCCAGCUACUGUCCGGACUGUUCUCUCACUGGCUCUCUCCCGCUCCUGGCCCGUGCAUCAGCUCGACAUCAAGAACGCCUUCCUGCACGGUACUCUAACUGAGACUGUUUACUGCAGCCAGCCAGCGGGGUUUGUUGACUCUUCUCGGCCUGAUAUGGUCUGCCGGCUCAACAAGUCACUUUAUAGCCUCAAGCAGGCCCCUCGAGCUUGGUAUUCGCGGUUUGCUGCCUACCUACUGACGCUGGAUUUUGUGGAGGCCAAGUCCGAUACUUCACUGUUUAUCUAUCACCAUGGUGCGGAGACUGCUUAUCUGCUGCUCUAUGUUGAUGACAUUGUCCUCACUGCCUCCAGUCCGUCCCUCCUACGGCGGAUCAUCACCUCACUUCAGCAGGAGUUUGCUAUGAAGGAUCUGGGUGUGCUCCAUCACUUUCUUGGGGUCACCGUCGAGCCUCGUCCGGCUGGCCUCUUUCUUCACCAGCGGCAGUAUACUCUUGAUAUCCUGGAGCGAGCUGGGAUGAUUGACUGCAAGCCCUGCUCCACUCCAGUUGACACUCAGGCCAAGUUGUCAGAGGCCGACGGCACUCCUGUGAAAGAUGCUACUGCGUACCGGAGUCUGGCUGGGGCCCUUCAGUACCUCACUUUCACCAGGCCGGAUAUCACUUAUGCGGUUCAGCAGAUUUGUCUCCACAUGCAUGAUCCCAGGGAGCCCCAUCUCACUGCUCUCAAGCACCUACUCCGUUACCUCCGGGGCUCUGUGGACUACGGCCUCCUCCUUCACAGGUCUCUCUCCACUGAGCUCGUUGUCUACACCGACGCUGACUGGGCCGGGUGUCCGGACACUCGGCGCUCUACCUCCGGCUACGCCGUCUUUUUGGGUGGCAACCUGGUGUCCUGGUCGUCCAAGCGUCAGCCGGUGGUCUCCCGCUCCAGUGCCGAGGCGGAGUACCGCGCUGUCGCUAACGGCGUGGCCGAGGCAUCAUGGCUUCGGCAGCUCCUUGCCGAGCUCCACACCCCUUCUUCCUGGAGCACUCUUGUCUAUUGCGACAACGUCAGUGCGGUGUACCUCUCCACCAACCCUGUUCAGCACCAGCGGACCAAGCAUGUGGAGAUUGACCUUCACUUCGUCCGGGAUCGGGUCGCCAUCGGCGAUGUUCGGGUCCUCCACGUCCCGACCACCUCUCAAUUUGCUGACAUCUUCACCAAGGGCCUCCCGUCACCUGCCUUCACCGAGUUUCGCUCCAGCCUCAACAUCACCUGUGGCUAGUUGCGUCUGUGGGGGGGCUUGUGUGUGUGCCUUUCUUUUCAUGUCCAGUCUGCAACUCCGCUGCGUCGGUAGUUCAGACUGCGGGGGAGUGUUGGUGUAUGUGUGUAUUAUGGCCCAAUAAGGCCCAUGUAUGACUGCUAUAUAGCUACCCACUAGGGUUAGCCCAAUAGAUAAGAUUUAUCCUCUAAUAAUUUCCCAUACCAUUUAAUCUCUUAACAAUUAGGUGAAUAUUGGUAUUAAUAGUAUAUGUCCAUCCUUGCAUUAAUUGGUAGGAGAUAUGGGAGAUAUGAUGUUACUUGUUAAAGUCAAAAUUGUAUUUGGGAGCACCUACCGGGGCUAGGAGAUAAGAUGUUACUUGUUAAAUGUUGAAAUUUGUAUCGAGUACCUAUUUUUCUGUGAAAGAACAAAAGAAUAAUCAAAGAUUGAUAAGGUACAUGCUUAUCAACGCUUGUUCCAGGGGACUUAUGUUGUUAAGGUGGCUUAUAUACCAGAAUGGGUUUUUAACCCUGACAAUUAUAUGAAGUUUAUGGUUGUUUUUUAAGGAUAAAUGACCAUAAAGUACAUUGUUUUGAAUCAUUAUUAUUUUUUUCCAACUGCAAAAUCCUGCUUGUAUCUAUGUUUCGUCAGCAGUCUACUGAUCGUGCUCCAAACUCUAAAUCUGUUUGCGAUCUUUCGUGCUACUAAUUUGUCUAGCAAACAGUUAUGUUUGGAAGCUAUAAUCAUCAGUGUGAUUUAUUAGAUUCUUAAAUGAUAAGCCCUCUUCCAUAAGUGAAGCUUGAUUAAUGUGAUUUUUGCUUCAAAUCUAAAACAUGUCUCAUUCAGCAGACAUGUAGAUGAGCUCUGGAGGGAUGCAAAAUCUGGGAACCACACUACUUAGAUGCACACCUGGCCUUGCACGAGAGACGAACAUCCACUUGCAAGGCAUGUGCUUGCUGAUUUGGAAGUACAAAGAGGAAGGAUUAAUUGGAGUCGGUAUUAUUUCUUCUGUCAAGAGGAAAAACCAAAGUUGUAAUAAAUUUGGGCAUAUGGACAAGGAUGUGCCAUUUGCAAAGUAGAAAAAUAUAGAGUUAGUGGAGUGAAGAUGUUUUUUUUUUCUAAAUCGCAGGCCCUACUUCACGUUGUGAAUGAAUUCACGCUCCCAACAUUUAUGCUUUGGCAACAAUGCCAAAGAAUUUAUUUGUGACUACCUAAAGAAAAGGAUUAUUUAUGACAGUUAUGAAUAUUACUUGUGAACAUCAAUUAGGUGACUCACAAAAGAGCAUCGUUUCAGUAAACUUUUUGCUCGGUAUUGACAGCGGUGGGUGGUGUGCCGAUUGAUUCUUUGUUUUGCUUGGUGGUGACCGGUCAUGUUUGGUGGCGGCUAUGUCGGUGCUUUGCUUUUGCUAUGGUGGUUUUGGGUCUUGCGGCGAAGUGGAUGGAGACCUAGUUGCAGACUCGGGGGUGCGAAUGUCCAUGGUGGUGGUUGGCGACCAUGCAGUGGAUGUUGGUGCAGUGUCCAGAGGGCAAGACUUCUCCUUGGCGUUUGAGGGCGAUGGUUUGGAGGGGCCGUGCACCAGUGGUGACCACAAAGUUGGCAUGAGGCUGGCAUGGUAGGAGGUGGCCGUCAGAUUUGCUUCCCUAAAGGGAUCUGGGUGUUGAGGCAUUGGGCGGUUCCGCAGAGCGGUGACUGCUUCAGUGCGAGGUGGUGAUCCUCUGUUGGAUGCUAGAGCCCCCAUUCGGCGUUCUGUUCCUUCGACGAGGUGAUUGGGUUGCUUGGUACUUCAUUUUUCAUCCUGAGCUCGGUACACGCAGUUAAAAGUUGAUAUCCAGAUGCAGUUGUUCUUGUGUCGAUUCAAUGGCUUGCAGCAACCUAUGGCGACUAGCCCUGUUUUUGCGGGUGUUAGUCCGGUGUAGGCCAUCUUCGCAAGGAGGCGCAAGCGGACCCAAUACAUGGCAGUUACACGGCUUGCAGCGGACCACAGCGACUAACUCUGCAUGGUAGUUGCUAGCUCGGCGCGGGACAUCGUCGUUACCGAUGGCGUUGGCGGUGACGAUGGGUUUCCUCUGAGGGCCUUGUGUCCGAGCGACAGUGCUGCUAUUGGUUCUUGAGCAGUGGGUUUGUGGUGUGUAGGUGGUGUCUCUACCCCCACUCGACCAACCUAAGUUUUGGAGGAGUGUUUAGUUCAGCGUGCGUUGAUGACCCAAUCCAACCUGCCGGGGGUAGAGUUAUGGAGGCUCAUGUUGAUGUCCCAAUCCGACCGGGCAGAGUUGUCUUGUGGAGAUGAGUUGUGAGGCUUGCGUCGAUGUCCCAAUCCGUCCGGCCUAAGUUGUUUGAGUUGAGUUGAGUUCGGCGCGUAUUGAUGUCCCAAUCCAGCCCGCCGGUGUUGUUUUUGUGCUUUUUUCUUUUUUGUUGCCUGGUUCUCGAGCCAUAUCAAUAGAAACGCACUCGUCGAGUGUUGUUCGUUCAUAAAAAAAGUAAACUUUGGUAGAAACUAUCUCUGCUAGAUUUGCUGCUGUUGACGUGGUGAUAGACCGUGCACAAGCUGAAAGUGUCUAAGGUUAAAUAAAAUUGUUUGUAGUUGGAGAAACCAUUGGGUACUAUUUCUAAUCCAUUUAUUAAACCAAUGAUAUCUUGUUUACGAUUUUACCAAUCUUGUACUUUAUUAUAUGAUGUUCACGGGAUUACGGUGUCUUUCAAAACUAAUGUUAUAUGAUAUAGUUUUCAUUAAAGAGUGCUAAUUUGGCACCAUGCCGUCCCCCGCAGCCUCCCCAACGUCCGUCCCAUGCUGGGACUACGGAGCGAGAGGGGCGGGCUGGGGAUGUGAGGGUCUGAGAGCGCGAUUAGCCCGGAAAUGGUGAGAGAGAAAAAUUGCACGUGGAAACAAACGUGGUCUUGUACGACCAAUCUAUUUCACGGCAUCAUUAAAAAAAUGAUCAGCGAAUAUUGUGCAUACAGUAACAAACACAAGGCAUAAAUAAUCUUUUUCAGAGUUCUCAGAAUCAAUCAAUUAGGACUACCACCAGUAGUGGGUUCUCACGCCAUUCUCAGAUUUAUAUUUACUGACAAACGAACUAAUAAUAAAACCACAAAUAAGGCGAUUGAAGUCCUCAUAUGAUAACCACAGGACAAAAACAUUCAGGUCGCAUCCCUUUCCCAGAAAGUAUGUGCUGACUCAGGAUGUAUGUCACAUGCAAUUCACGCAGGCCAGUUGAAAUAUGGUAGAGGUCGAACCAUGUUACAUCUUUCACAAGGGAGUUGAAGUUUAACAAGCAAUUCAAUACUCCACGCUAGGACCCUGACAACCAGCUCAAGGAGGAUCAGGACUUGUGCAUCGAUGAUAAUUCAAUGCUUUCUCCUGCGUUCAUAAAUAAAGCGCGGGGCAAGGGAAGGAUACCACCAAUAUGGCCCAGGCACAGAAAAUCUGAUGUCGAAUAAAAUGUAUUAAUGAAAAUCACUGAAUUAUUUGUGUGAAACAAACCAAGAAAAUGGUAUUGACUUGUCAAAUAAUACCUACCUAUUUGGAUCACCGUCUUCGUUAAUCUUAGCAGCAGCAGACCUACGAAUAAACAAAAAAUAGUUGCCAUCAAAUAAUUCAGAUACUUGCUUAACCAAAACAUAUAGAUUUGGUCACUCAAUGAAGCAGCUUAGCAUUUCAACUUAACUAGAAGGAUAUGGCUAAUGUGGCUGAAGAUGCUCAGUUAUUAAGCCAACAUCAUAGGCUUGGGAGAAUUUACAGCAAGACUAUGGAUAUCAACAAACCCCCUUUAUGAAGAGGAUCGAAAUCAUGCAACAUCACUUCAAAUCAAAUGCUUUAUGUGCAAACAGCACUGAGUGGUAUAUUGAAGAAAAUGCUUGACAUUGCACAUGAGCAUCAAACUAAGUAAUAACAACCAAGAUAGAACAGCCAAACUGACCUAGAAAACGAUUUCCAGUUCAUGGUACUAAUGCCAAAAAUUCAAGUAGAAAAUAUGGGAACGGUCACAAGUCGUCGAUAAGUAUAGUGCACUAGCGCAAUUCCCUUAAACCAUAAUAUUAUGUACAUGAAUAUACCACAAGAAAAACUACAUAAAUGAAAGGCAUACCCUUUUCUAUCAAAGUCCUUCAAUUGCUCCAGAAUUAUAUGUCUUGGUAGAUAAGGAGUUCUUUUCGCAUCAUAGAAGUUCAUGCCAAUGAAAUUCCCACAAAAAUCAAUAAGGGGGCCUCCAAUCCCAGCCUUAAACAAAAAGAAUAGAAAUUAACACACGUGAGGAUGACAUUUUUAGUGCAAUAAAGAUGUAAUGUAUUAAAUUACUCAAAUUCUAGAUGCAACAACUAAUUCCACCACAAGAGAAACCAAUGCAGUGUACCUUGGUGAUCUUACAAGUACAGAUUCCAUGUUCUUCGCUGACAAGAUUGCUUGAAUUGUCAGUCAGCACCCCACUUGUUGCCAUGAGUUUUCCUGUAUCAAAGGUACUCCCUAUAGCUACUACCUGAUUAUCAUUGAGAGGAUAAACUGGCUUCUCAAUGUGGAGUUUUGCUAUUCGACGACAAUGGAAAUUCCUUAUGCUGACAACAGCAAUAUUAUAAUGUAAAUUAUGAUGCUGCAGUUUCCCUGUGGCAUGUUUCUUAUUUGGAAGUAACACACGAAUCUGCAAUGAAUGACAAAGUUAGAAUUAAAAUAUGAAAUAAACAAGCAGGGGUAUAGAAUGAUUUGCAGUACAAACCUUCAAGCUGCCAUCAAUCUCGUUUUUAUUAGCCAAUCUAACCAAACUCGCUGAUGUCAGGAUUCUUGUGAUGGAUUUGUGGCGGCCUAUAAGUACACCAGUGCAAGCAAAAAACCUAGUUUCUCCUACAAAGAUCAUUGUUGCAAUCAUGGUAUUGAAAUUAAAAUAAAAGAAGUAAAUAUGGGAAAGUAAUAUGAUCUUAUAACAGCAAAAUCACCACGGAAUGAAGCAAGUGAGACAACACUUAAAGAUGUGUCUAAAGCAACUUUUUUUGUGAGCCUGUUCCAUAUGUCUCCCGCAAAUUCCUCCUCAAAAUUUUUACGCAACUCCAUGCCUCCUGGUUGAAGAAUCAUAGAACAACAAUUGAGUGUGCUAGAAAAGACUAAAAAUGUGCAACAGAAGAACGGUCAGCAGAAGCAAAAGCAAUAACUCACCUUCAAGCAUUUUUGGCAGGGGAUAACCACGGGAUAGUAGAUCGUUAGUAAAAGCCUUCAUGAAUUCUGGUGCAACAAGGUGAAGUGAUUAAUGACUAUGGUUAACUAAUGGCUUGCAAAACUGAAGGCAAAUUACUCACCAUUAUCCGGCAAGGGUGAAUUCGAUAAUUCACUGGUGUCUGGUGCAACAAGGUCAAUCAGUAAUGACCAUGUAUUAGUAAUACUCAAUAACAGUAGAACACGAUAUCAGCAAUGAUAAUCUAACAGCAUCAGAAGUGACCCAGCUUUGAUUCACCUUGUGAUGAUUCGCUUUCUGAAUCACUUGUAGAGGAUACAGAAGACUUCUGAUUCGUUUCUGGGCUCUUGUCACUUCCUCUACCUUUUUCUUUUUGAUGGUGAGGGGAGACAUAAGCUUAAUAAGUACAUUCUCAUACAGCUUGUCAACAUAGUGGGCAGUUGGCACAUACGAUAUUUGUUACUAUAGCAAUAUAAGUACUGGUAUUUUUUAAUAGUUUUGGUAUUCCAUACUGCAAAACAUUAUUUCUUAAACUCUUAAUCACUAAUACUUAUCCACCUUUUUACUUUUGUUCACAUGUAUACAUAUUGCAUAAAGAGAUAAUAACUGAGGGUGGUUUAAUCAUUUGAAUGCCUUCUUGGUCUAUGUAUAAGUUAAAAUACAGAAUACGUUUAUGGACAGAGGCCACUGGUGAAGAAUCUACAAACGUUCAUUAAAUUAAACUUAAUGAAAGUGAAUUUCACAACAGUACACAUUAGCAGUCUUCACGAGUAACUACUAUUCUCACCUUCUGAAUUAAGAACAACAAGAGUUGAAGAUUUACAUAUCUCACUCGUGCUUCUUUCAAUUUGGUUAUCACUUCCUUGCUUGAUACUAGCCCUGCAGCAGGAUGCUUGCCCCACCACAAAGGUACUGUUUCCAAAGGAAAAUAGAUCAUGGAACAUAUCUAAGCUAGGCAAAAUGAUACAGUUCUAAUUCUAAAAAAAAAUGAUACAGUUCUACAUAUUUUCUUUCUCACGAGAUUACCGAUAAAGCCAGUAAACACUGGUACCAUUUUCACUAGAAUCCAACACGACAGUCUAAUCAAACUUGAAUGCUAAACUGUUUAGGGGAUUAUGGGCCCGACUCACCACCCAACAGGUUUCAGCGAAAACAAUGCUCCGAAUACUGCAUGUAAGAAGAAUUACUAAGGGGAGAAAACAGGUGCCAGAACCAUGUUCAGUCCCUCAAACAGCCCAGCUUGCAGCAAUACUCAUUCGAACUUAGGUUUUCUGUGCCCCGCCUAAAUCCUAGUCCCUCCUCUGUUUGAACAAGUAAGAAUGAAAUUAUAGCAAACAUACCUAGGUAAAAAAUAUGGUACAAUCGACUUAAGAAUUGUUUCCUUUGGUAGGAAUAGAGUCCCUUCAUUAUCCACUUGAGACAUGUUCAUGCCAACAAAGUUUCCCUCAGAGUCGACAAGGGGCCCUCCAAUACCAAACUGUCAAAAGGGGAAAAAAGGGUGAUGCUAAACCUAUAGCACAAAAUAAAGCCCACAAGAAAAUGAAUUUUUCAUAGCCAAUCAUAUCACAACACAAUUAUUUAUUUCCACAAUUUCAAGAGCAUAAGGAGAGAUAUCAGCAGUGCACCUCAGGAAUAAUACAUGUGGACAUAAUAAGCUUUUGACCAUAAAGUUCACUUGAUUUCUUAGUCACUAGCCCAGUUAAGGACAUUAUUUUUCCUGUACUGUUGCAACAUAUAGCUGUUACAGUGUUAAUAUAUCCAACUUCCCCGGGCUGAUCCAGACUUGCUUCUUUAAAAACAUGGACAGGGCCCAAGCCGAUAACAGCAAUAUUGUAGUCAAAAUGAAUUGUCAUCAAGUACCCCCUCAUCAUUUGCCCAUCUGGAAGGUUCACAUGAAUCUGCAAUGAUAAACCAAGACAACAGGUUACAGAAUUAUCACCAAUACCUUAAACAGGCUAGCAAUGCAGUACAGAAAAAUUGGGAGCACCAACCAACAGAUCCAUAUUACGGUUUCUGCCACCUUGCUUACAUCUAAUCGCAGUUGCUGAAGUCAAAAAACAACUAGAGUAUUUGUUACUUUUGAUAACAAGGCCUGUGUAUUGAUAAUGUUCAUUUUUUCCUGCACAAGAUUUUAAUUUCAGUUUUGGAAAUGAUCAUUAUUAUAGAAAGUUAAAACUGAUGAUCAAAUGCAAAUAUAGGAAGCCAGUUUGUAUUAUUACCAAUGAAUGACAGUGAGACAACACUUUCAGAUAAUUUUUGCACAACUUCUGUAUGCAGUUCUACCUCGGCAUCAAGGCUGUCAAAUUCCUUGUGAGAUGAAUCAUCCAGAUCAAAAUUUCCUAGUAAAGGAGAGGCCGUUGUGAUAUAACAGAGUUGUGUAAAUACAUGAAAUAAAAGGGUGAAACAACAACACACUUAUCAUACCAUGACUUUUGUUAGCUUUCUGCUUCUCAUUUGAGCUAGAUGAGUAAUCACCUCUUCGCUUUGACAUACUUUCAACCCUGAAGCAAAAAGGAACAAAAUCCAAAUACUAAGCCAUCAGUAUCAAUUCCACCUUUUCACUUAGAACGAAACUUUUAUGAAACAAUAAAAAUAUUAUAAGUUAAGGAGGAAAUUAUUCUAGCUUCAGAAAACAAAUGUUCCAAGAAAACAGAAAAUAUAACAGAGAAUAAUUCAUUUUAAUAGUUGCAAACAAAUACUUGAACAUCAAUUGCAAACGAUUCAACACUAAUCAUUAGGUACAGAUGAUUAUAAUGCAUGGACAGAAGAUUUAAUACCACGAACUACAAAUCAAGCAUUCAAGAAAGGUAGGAAUUGAAGGGGAGUGGUGGAGUACCGUCGUUGGAAGGAGGCGAGCUGGCAAGGUCGGAAUAGCCACCGGGCGACUGCGGGAGCCGGCGUCCUUGCCCUAGCCCCUGGGCCUCAGAGCCGGCGUCCUGCGCUAGGAAGGGAAGGAGGAGGGUCCGAGUGGAAGGAGGAGGCGGCGGCACCGCGGCGAGGGCGCGAGGCGCUGUCGCGGUGGCGCCUGGCGGAGGGGUGUUAGUGGACAAUGAAGGUUCUUGGUGGGCUUGGGCCGAAUGUACGUAGAUGGACCUCUGGUUCUACUGUUAUACCAAGGUUCGUGUGGCGAGUGGACCAGACGAACUUUUUUUAUUUUUAUAUUUUUUAUUUUAGCAUUUUGCAAAAAUAUAUAGUCAGAUGAAAAAAACGUAAAACUAGGCUAUUGUCGCCGGUUGGUGACAAGGUCCUUCCGCCAGCCCAGGCGGCGGUAAGGGGCGGUUGGGCCGGUGGAAGGGCUUACCGUCAGCUGGGCGACAAGGGGUACACCCCUUUGCACCAUACUUUUAAAAAAUCAUAACUAAUUCAUAUUAACUCGGAUGCAGAUAAAUUUUAUAUAAAACUUGUAUAUCUUGACGCGUAGUUAAAACGUUUUUCAUUUGAUGUCAUAUUGGUGCUCAAAUAAUCGAUACAAGUUUCAGAUCUAAAAUUCAAUUUUUAGAUCUGAAAUUGGGCAGCACACUUUAAAAAAAUGAUAACUAUAUCAUACGAGCUCAGAUAGAAAUAAUCUUUAUAUAAAAAUUCUAUCCCUCGACGAGAUUUACAACUUCGUAGUUGAAACUGUUUUCAUUUGGAGCCAUUUAUUUGCUGAAAUAAUCGACAGAAGUUUCAGAUCUAAAAAUUGAAUUUUAGAUCUGAAACUUGUGUCGAUUAUUUGAGCACCAAUAUGACAUCAAAUGAAAAAAGUUUUAACUACAAAGUUGUAGAUCUCGUCGAGAUCUACAAGUUUUAUAUAAAAUUUAUCUCCAUCCAAGUUGAUAUGAAUUAGUUAUGAUUUUUUGAAAGUGUGAUACGGAGAGGUAUACCCCUUGUCGCCGGCUGGGCCAGCGGUGAGGCCCAGCCGGCGACAAUAGCCUUGUUUUGCAAUUUUUUCAUCCGAUUAUAUAUUUUUGCAAAAUACUAAAAUAAAAAAUAUAAAAAUAAAAAAAGUUCUGGACCAGACAGAGGCCGACAACAGCUGAGAUGAGCUCGGCUCUCCAAUCGAAAACACAUGGGAGUGUAUGGAGUUGCAUUGGGUUUAAUACCAAAUCAGUCAUGGUUUUUAAAAAAGCAACAAUUCAAAUUAUAUUGUUUGGAUGACACUUAAACUAGCUUUUGGAAUCUAGAAAGCUGCGCAAUUCAAUUCUUGUUUGGAUGUACAAAAGCAUGGCAUUGGUAUUUGUUCUCCACCCAGCCGAUCAGGCAACAACCACCACUCCUCAAGGCGUAAGUACGACUCCUCCCUACUACAACAUUGAUUUCUCCUCUACCCCACCACCCACCUCACCAAUUGGUGCGCUAUCAAGCAACAGCGUACCCCUUCCUCCAUCCAAAUCCAGCACGGGAUGCAGCACCCAUGGAAAGGAGGAGAGUGAUGGCACCUGAGCUCCAUGGCUCUGACACCUAGAUCCGAUGUCCAUGGAGCAAGUUGAAUUGGGUCUUUUCGAUUAAUGAUUUUAUUGUUGAUAAUGUUUGUCUUCUUAUGAAAUCACAGCCUUACUUUGUCAUUCGAAGCAAUUCUUUUUGAAUCGAUUAAUUACAUAACAACAUUGAAAGUCUUUUCAAACCUUGCUAACACUUGUUAUGCUAACUCUUUGCAUUUGCAUUUUGCAUUUCUUCAACAUCCACACUUUUGUUAAGUUGACAUGUUUGGUUUUCUAAAUUUUUUGGAGCCCUUGAAUUCUAUGGCUUUAACAUGGUGUUUGAUCCGAGAAUUUCAGCAACCUAGUAGUAAACAUGGUGUUUGAAACUUUGUGUAAUCUUUAUCAAAUUUCGUCCCCACCUUUCAUGUUACUAACUUCAUGCAUUCACACUUGCACACAUCGUACACUCACUAGGUCUUUAUUUUUAUUUUACUAGAUUAGCUAUGUCACAAGUUAAAGUCUUAGGGAUGUUGUUGGUUUGCUGGCAAUUGCUUCCACUCCCGAUCGUCACCCUAGGGUAGUAUGUGCAGUUGAAUUGUUUUGCAGGCAUGGUGAAGCGCCCUCAUCAAAGAAAAAAAGAGUGAAGAGAAUGAAGGACAAUAAAGGCGACAAGAGUGAAGAAGCAUGAAGAAAAACUCCGGACGUGGAGCACAAGAAUUUCAAUGAUCUUAGAAUGCUUCAUUUUCUUCUUCUAUACCUAGCACAAUGCUAAGCAAGGGGGAGGAAUUAUUGGACAAAAAGUAAAAAAUGCUAUAUGGGGUACAAGGAUCACGGCCGCCACAAUAUGCUUAUUUUUCUACUUGGAUGCUAAGCACAAUGCUUAAGCAUGGGAGAGGUUGCGCUACGCUUCAUUACAAAGAACCAAAGCAACGGUAAAUUUCUCUUGCACCUUCUCUUUUUUAUCUCUUUCUAAAUGCCUGUGUAUAAGCCUUCAACCAUAGACUCGAUGCAACAUUUGUAUAUCUCUACCACUAAUAAUAUGGCUACUACGAGGACAACCUAGUUUUAUUUUUGUUUUCAAUAAAUAAUAAUCACCAUCACUUUGUGCUCACCACGAUGAUAUAAUUUUUGUACACUCUUUCUUAUAGAAAAAUGAUUAAAGUUGUCGCUUUGCUUUUACCUAUACAAUAUUGUAUAUGGCUUGACUAAUUGCUCUCUAUUUAAUGAGUUAAAUUAAUAUAAAUACCGGUUCUUUUAUUUAUAGAGGUUAGGUUAAAUGACUAAAUCUAGACCCACAUACUUUAUGUUACUCUUUGAUUUAAGUUUAUUGAUGACCUAAUAACUUGUAUUGUUUAAAAUUUAAUUCUUAUACUGUCUACAUUUGUGAAUCUCUUGCAAAGUUCUAACUACCAUAGCCUAUAUACAUGCAAUUCUUUCAUGAUGAAAUCUUUAGAUUGCAAACUUAUAUCUGUAUGAGUUGGAUUAAGAUUGAUUUUUUGUGGUUUAAGACUUAGAAGCUAGCCAUCUCCUUUAUGUAAACUAUUUUCUUGCUAGCCUUUCUGUCCAUGCGUUGUGAGUUUCUACACUGGAAAUUUUACAAACUUCGCUGGGCAUCCACCCUAAACAAAAAUCAUCUUUUUGUGACACCUCCUUGACCACAACCCAUUAUAUGAGUAUGAAAUAUUUUUGACGAAGAUCCAUUGGAUUUCUCUAUGCCAAACCAGUGCAAAUCAUCAAAGAAAAUAACUAUAAGCUCAUGGAAAAAAAUUAAGAAGAAAUGAACAUCCAAAGGUGGUAGGCCGAUCGGCCUAGGGGUUGCUGCCCCUAUUCGCUCUAACUUUUGGCAUGAAGCAUCUCUGAGAAGAUUCAAAACCUUUCAUGAAAUUUCCUAAUGAUUUCAAACUUACUCGAGCAGCUAUUAGAUUUCACUUUUUAUGCUCGUGGCCAAGUAUCGUUCAAGCAUGGGGGAGUUGGUGCGUCAACCAUAUCCCUAACUACUGCUGAAGUAAGUGCAAUUUGAUUGUGUUGGACAAAGUCUGAGGAGCAAAAGAAAAAAAGAGAAGAAAAAGAAAAGGAAAGAAAAAAAAGUAGAAAAAGGAAAAAAGAGAGAAAAAUAACAUACUCCUCAGUACUUGAAAGUUUAUGAUUACCCGUGCCCAUUGAUAUCAUACUCAUUGUUCCAACCAUGUGCAAUCCGAUAACAAGAACUUCAUAUGUGUCUUGGGAUCGUCUUUUUGCCACUUGCACAUGUCCACUUAUCUAAACGUGUGUGUCUUAUCCCACUCCCUCUCCAACACUUAUUUUUCAUGGACUUUUUGAUAAGUCUCGGUAAUUUCAAUAGAUCUUUCUUGGUUUAACAAUAUUUUAUAUAUAAUAUUUUGCUAGGAUUGUUUUUACCUACCAAGCUCCACAAAAGCCUUCCGCUUUCGUAUAUGAGUAGAGUAGGUCGAAAAUAAUCUAGUAUAAACUUGAGUGACUUGAUGAGAUGAGUGUUUCCAUGAACUGUUGCAAGAGAAUCUCACUUAUGUUGGAUUUGUAUCUUUUUAGAAAACUCUCCAUAAUGGAAUAAGGUAAAGGUCUAAAGCUCACUAAAGUUCAAGAGCAUUGCAUUUAUUUUACUAGUGGCAUAUUUUUUUAUUGCUAGUCUAUCUUCCAUGAUGAAAAAUAGCUAGUUAUAACUUGAACUUUAAAUGUUAAAUACUUGAGAGAGCAAUGUGUCUUGUUAUGUAUAACUGAGUGUAGGUAUGACAUUGAAGGGCAAUGCUGAUUUUCUGAUUAAGCAAGUAUCCUGGAUUUGCUCAAGGGAGAGUAAGGUUUAAGCAUGGGGGAUUGUUGGUGCUCGUUAUUGCCACUUUUUUAGUGCUAUUUAAGUGGUGUUUUUGAACUAAAUCUUAUACUAACCCGGCAUGUGAAAUAACCCUAUAUUCUCAUAUGUGUUGUAUUUUUGACUAUAUUGCAAAAUGGCAAGAAGAUAUAACAUGCGACUUUUGUACGAGCUGGACUUGGACUUUGGAUAACACAAGGGGCCUGUUCGAGAAAGACGAGCACUAGCGAAGCCCAAAAGAGGGAUGGCCGAUCAGCCCAAGGCCCAUAGGUUGAUCAGCCUUGCUCAUUUCGCCCUCCAAAUGCAUCCACAUUAGACGAAUCAUCAUUCCAGAUGACUUAGAGGCGAAGUAUGUGGUGAUUUGGCAAGCCAAUCUUGUGGUGAAGCUAAAGAAAACUCAAGAUUAAAAGGUCAAAAGGCCCGCAGAAAAGCAGCAAAUCUUGCACAAGGAAUAUCUCCCUCAUCCGAACACUAGUUGGGACGAAUUUGGUAUCUAAAUUGCAUAGCUAAAGAAGAUGUACAACUUUGUAUAGAAAGUUCGGGCGUUUGAGGCCGGCAAGGUGGAGAAAUUGACUAGGCUGAUCGGCCCAACAAGCCCAGGCCGAUCGGUCAGGCCCUUUUUUGGCUCCGAUUGACGUGCAUUUUGCCCUACGGUACCUCUUGACUGUAAAUAUCUCCAUUCUCCAUCGUUAUGGGCAUCCAUUCACCAGAAGUUAGCAAAACCUAGGGCAAACACUAAAGGGAGUUGAGAGCCGCCGCAAGUCUUUGAAGUUGUCUAGAAGAUAUCUUAGGCCAAACCCUAGCCUCCAUGUCCUCCCUGUGCGGUUGUGCCAUGGCGGAGUUCAGGAGCCAAGCAUUCAUCGUCAUAGGUGUCGGAUUUUGGAUCUGGCAGUCUAAAGGGGUACCUGAGUGGUUGAUUUGUAGGCUAGGCAAUCACGAGACUAGGGAGCUCGAGGUGACACAGGAGGCGCAAGGUUUAUACAUGUUCGAGCUAUCUAAAGAUAUAAUACCCUACGUCCUAUGCUCGAUGAUGCUUGUUUUGAUUUGUUGGACAAAGCUUAAGGAGCAAUGGCGAGUUUAGGGGCUAGAAUGAGGUGUGUCCUUGGGGGUGCCCUAGGUCCGACCCAUCCUAUUUUGGAAGAAGGUGAUGUCAAAUUCGCCAAGCUCCAUUGACCACUUGACGACCCUGCCGUUGAUAUCGCGGUUGCACAGGAUCUCGCCGAGUGGGGAGUUGCAGACUACUUGGAUCUUGUGUGCUUGGAAGUAGUGUUGUAGCUUGCGAGAGGUAAUCAGGAGCGUGUAGAGCAGCUUCUGGACCAGUGCGUAGCAAACCUUGGAGUCGUUAAGGACUUCGCUGACGUAGUAGACCGGGUGUUGAACCUUCUUUUUGACUUGAACACCUUUGCUGGAGUCGUUGAGAACACCACCAGCCUCUACCCCGUCCCCUCCGACCACAGCCCCGGACGGUGGCUACCGCGCCGCCUUGCCAGCCACCCACCUCCCACCCCUUCCUCCUCUAUCCCGCCCUCCACUAACCUCACAAGUCCGUCGCCCCCGUCGCAGACUCCGCCCACCGGUUGUCGUCCACCACCCGGUCGCCGGCACCCCCGCCGCCUCGCCUCGCCGCCUCCCGACGCCAAACCUUGACGGUGCCGUCGGUGGAGCCGGUGAGGAUGAGGCUGCUGAACCUGGCCGCGGCGACGGUGUUGACGGCCGAAGCUACAUCGCGCGGCGGUGCCGCCCACCGCCCCUCCCGCCCUUCGCGAUUUAGCUGGACGGGUUGACGGAGCGGAUCCGGUGGUGAAGGUGGCGGGGAUGGCGGAUCCGAUGGGGAAGGCGGCGGGGACGGCGGAUCCGGUGGGAGGCGGUGGUGAUGGCGGAUCCGGGGGAAGAACAGCGGCGGGGACGGCGGAUCCGGUGGGAGGCGGUGGUGAUGGCGGAUCCGGGGGAAGAACAGCGGCGGCGACGGCGGAUCCGGUGGGAGGCGGUGGUGAUGGCGGAUCCGGGGGAAGAACAGCGACGGGGACGGCGGAUCCGGUGGGAGGCAGUGGUGAUGGCGGAUCCGGGGGAAGAACAGCGGCGGGGAUGGCACAUGGGGGUGGUGCGGCGGGGAUGGGAGCACGUACCGGCAGCGGGGGUGGCCUGAAAGAGCCGACGGUGGCAGCGGAUUCUUGAGGAGGGGUGCGGGUGCGGCUGGGAAAGAAGCUGAGUGUGCGGGUGCGGGUGCCGCUGGGGACAGAGAAAACUGGGCAAUAAAAGAGGGGCAAAGGGUGUCCACCCCACCUUUUAGCAAGUUUUAGCAACCAAAAACUUGCUAAAGUGCUUAAACUUUAGUAACUCAACUUUAGCAACUUUUAGCAAGGGUUUUUGGUAGUUUAGCAACUUUUAGUUGCUAAACUUUAGCUGCUAAAGUUUAGCAAGGGGUACCCAAACACCCCCUUAGCACACUCCGGAUGCUCUAAUGAGCGAGUUCCCUAUACACAUUUUAAAUAGAAAAAUAAUCCAUUUUGCUCCCAUCAUUUAAAUCAUAGUCGGCGAUUGCUUGGUGUGGUGCUUUCAUGGAGAACUUGGAGGGCGAAGCUAUGUAGGGAAAAGAGCUAGCUGUCGGUUGUGGACUGGUCUGAAUCGUGGACCACCAUGUCCGGCGCGAUGGCACCAGCGUGCGCGCGCUUUUCUACGACCACAUGUUCUAGACUAGACUGCUACAUAGAUGCAAGUUUGUGCUCGAUCCGUUCUGUGUUAAAUGCUUACGGAGCCGACAUCCGGCCACGACCAAUUCUCUUGAACAAAGUACAAUCCAGGACCCGCAUCUUAACCCGCACUGACACGCUCUGCUUACAUAACAUGGCAACACGUAGACGUGGUUCAAGUAUACUACAUGGUCUAAUGCUUGGAACAUAUGGAAGGAAACAUGCAGAAGAAUAUUCGACAACAAGUCCAUCGAAGCUAAUCAUCUAUGUGACCAAAAUCAACCAGGACAUCGCCGCCUACAAGCUGGCGAAGUCAAAUGUAGUCUAACUGCUGCUUCCCAGCGCGGUCCUGUUGUUACAUGUUUUCCUUUUCAAACUGAUUAGGUCUUUGUAAAUAUUGGCCCAUGGGGAUCCUGUACAAAACUAUUGCUUCCUACUAUAAUGAAACGGCAGAGCACCUGCCCGAGCUUGCUAAAAAAAAAAACUACAUGGUCUAAACAAAUGAUCUAAAUCGUGCCAACAUGAGGAAUGCAACUAAGGUACAACAAAUUUUUAAUAUUUACCUCCGGCUCUAAAAUUUGUUGCAACUAGUUACUCCCUCUUAUUUGCUUAUUGUGUCGGUCGUUUCAUGAUUUUUUAUGUAAAAUUUUUUACUUAGAUUGACAAUAUAUCAAUGAGUUGCUGAAUUCAUCUUGAAAUCUUUUCAUAGAACAUAAGUACCUCUAAGAGAGUACUCCGUUCGUCCAAAAUUACUAUUUAUUUGAAAAAAGUCCAUUUUACUCACCUCACCUAUUCACUUUAUCCGUCCCACCCCCUAACAAAAAUAUCAGCUCAAUUUAAUGCCUCAUUGUAUUGAUACAGGCUUAAAUCAACCCCUAAGCAGGAUUUGUCCCCGAAUUUGCCUACGUGGAAUGGUUUUGACAAGUCAACGUGUGUUUAGACCUACUUAAGCCGAAUGACAUAGACUGCUAGAGCGAGCCACUAAAAUUUAGCCAAGCCACCUAUCUCCUACGAUACCAGAAUAGGCGAGCUGCCAAGACUUCCACACCGCAUCGCGCAGACUCUUCCACCCCUCUUUGCCGCCGCAUGAAUUGGAUGAUCGGAACGACGCCGGUGGAUACUGGAGUACGAGCAGAUUGAUCGAGGUGAGUAAUCCAAACCCUAGACUACCAAUUUCUCCUAGAGAUUGGUCUGAAUCUUCUACCAAUUUCUCCCAAAAGAUUGGUUUGAAUCUUCUACCAAUUUCUCCGUGAGAUCAGUUUGUCCGUGCGAUGGAUGGCCUCUUCUUGCAUUAUGUGGAUUUAUCCUCGUUAUGGCUCCAUUCAUUAUUAGUAGAAAGUGGAGGCAUCAGUCAUUAUCUCCUUGGUCCUUAAUUAGCUUGGGUAGUACGAUGGCACUGUUCUUCCGUUGGAACAGUUACAAAACCCAAUUAUUGUUUACUAGAUUUAAGCCGAUCUGCCCCUCUGUGCGCGCGCGCUUGUACAUGGGAAUGGGAUUGGUGGUUCAAUUAAUCGGUGGUGGAUGAUUCCUUUUCCUGUAGGCUAAUGAAGAGUAUGGGAGCCAUGCUGUAGGACUGGUAGGGCCAUAAACAAAUGUGUCUGAUGCCAUCGUGAAUGAUAUACUCCAUGAAAAUACCUGCAAAAGAUACUAGGAUUCAUGUGUUAAUAUACUCCAUACAAUAACCUGCAAAAAGAAAAGGGACUGCUAGUGUAGCACAUUAGUUCUAUCUGUUCUAUAUAUUCCUAAAAGAUAAUAGGAUCCAAUAGUAUAUAUUCUUGGAAUCUUCAUGUCACAAAAAAUAUACAUAAUGUCUGUGUUUUUUCUUGCUAGAACAUGCUGAUAAAACUAACUAAUUAUACACACACAAGCACAUAAUAGUAAUAUGUGUGAUUGAUGCUUUGUAAUUUUGGUUUGCAGGUUGGAUGGAUAAUCUUGGUUUCUACCAGUGAGAUUUCAUUUGGAGGGAGAGUUUGUGCAUCUUGGAGACAAAAUUAACUUUGUUGGUGGAGAUGAAGCCUGGUCAUAUAUUGAGAGGGAAAGGAUUCGAUGUGUGAGAUUGUUGACAAUUUAAAACGACACAUGAUUAUAACCGAUAAAGAUUCCAUUUUUUGCCUUGGUGAGAUCUAACACCCCAUAUCAAUUUUUUCAUUUCAAAAUAUCCAAAGCAGCAUUUUCAACCUUUGGAAUUGAAGAAAAGUCAGGGAAAACUAUGGCAGCCUUAGCUAGUGCCAUGUAGAGCAUAUGGCCCUUGAACUGGAUAAAAACCCUUAUCUGUCCUCCAAGGGUUGCAGCCUGCUGGCAGUUGAUGAUAGCAUCGGCAGCUUGGCUAAGAACAGGAAAGGAGAGGAAAAUUAGAAUAGAGGAAGAUUAAAAGGGUGAUUUGGUCCUUUUACGCCUAUAUUACAGAGUUAACAAUGAUCUAGAAAGGUUAAAUUUUACGGUUGGAUGGCAUAUAUAGGAUAAAUUAUUUGAUGGCAGACUUCGGAUGUGAGAAUAUUGAAAUGACAAAGAAUUCUCUAGUGUUUGGUCCCAUAUUUAUUCUUAACAUACAAAUAAAUGUUUGCAGGGCUGCAGAAACACGACAUUCUAAGGGUUAUUUUAACCAUGACUGCCCUCCCCGCCUAAAUACUGCAGGUGGAGAACCGAUUUUUAAUGAUGCAUUUGAUAUGGUUGGUAUUAGCUGUAAAAAUAUAGGUGCCACACGUGUUAUGGAUGUGAGUAGUAUAACCAAAGGGAUUUCACUUUUUCAUCAAGGAAUGGAAAACAAGGUAAUGAUUUUUCUUGUACGGUAAAUUUAUAUACCAAUUCUUUCAAUGCUUAUCUUGUCUUUUCAUGUAUAGGAUCUUCAUGAAAUUAUAGAAUUUAUUAAACAAAGCAAAACAGAAUGUUGGAGUAAACGGAAACAUGAUGAACAUUCUCAAAGAAGAACCAGCAGUAGAACCAAAAAGAAGAAAGAGCAGGGGAUCUGAGGGUGGCCAAAAAAGAAGAAAGAGCAGGGAUCUGAGGGUGGCCUGGACUGCGCAUGAGGAAUUAUACCAUGUGUCUCUAUAGGGAUGUCUUUAUGCUGAUAUAAUGUAUUACUGUAAUCAGAGUGCUCUUCGUCGAGCUCUGGCUGUUAACGAACCAUGAUUUCAUGCUGCUGACUUGGAUUCGGAUUGAGCUAGAUAUGCUAUGGCGCAAGCUAGAGUUUCUGUCUUUAGAAACUAGAGUCCGAACCUGAUGUAAUAGAAGAUGGUUUUGGAUAGAGAUAGACUAGAGAUAGACCUAGUUUGAAUCAUAUUCUUGUGCAUAUAUAACACGGAACUGUGGGAUGUGAGGUUGCUAACCACGUUUACUAGUCUGCCUUAUAUUUUUACAUGGUAAUCAGAGCACUCUUCAUCUAGAGAGCGUCUAUUGCCUAUGGUGUCAUCUUCUUCCUCUGCGCCGGCCCUUGCUCCACUCAGCCCUCAAGUCACCGAGAAGCUUAUUAUCCUAUGGAAGGCCCAAGUCCUUCCACCCAUUAGGAGAGCUCAGCUGUUGAGGGAUUCAUCAAGGCUCCAUCCGAAGUUCUGGAGAUCCUCGCGGAAGACAAGUCCAAGGAGACUGUUAGCAAUCCGGCGUACUCCAUAUGGCUGGUGCAAGAUCAGCAAGUCCUCGCUUUCUUGUUCAACUUGGUCACAAAAGAUGUGUUGGGACAAGUAGCGACCUUAUCUUCGUCUGCAGAAGUCUAGGCGGCUUUGGAAAUAUGUUCUCUGCCUAGUCUCGCGUGAGGGUAACUCAUCUACGAAUGCAGCUGUUGACCCUCAAGAAGGGAAACAUGGCAACUUCAGUUUACUUCAACAAGAUGAAGGCUAUCGCUGAUGAUCUUGCGGGCGCUGGAAAGAAAGUUGAGGAUGACGAGAUGAUAUCUUUUAUCCUCACUGGUUUGGAUAGCGAGUACAACCCCAUUGUCACAUCUCUUAUGGGACGUACAGAUCAGAUCACGCUCAGCGAAUUGUAUGCCCAAGUUAUGGCGUAUGAGACAAGACUGGAGAUGCUUCGUGAGGGUUCCAUUGGCCAAUUUCAAUCGUCCGCCAAUGUAGCAGCAAGAGGAUGUGGAGGUGGCUACAAAAGCCAUGGCCGUGGUAGCUAUCGUUGCCGUGGAGCAAAUUCCCAAGGAGGACGAAGCACUGGUGGAGGUGACAGUCGUCACCAGUUCAGGACCGGUGGCCAAACCAAUUCCAAGCAAGAUGUCAGAUUUGUGAUAGGCCAAUCAUACAGCAAUAGAUUGUUGGUAUAGAUAUGACGAAGACAAUCAAGCAUACAGUAACAAGGCAUCUAACUCUGGUCCAGCAGCAGCUUAUGGCAUUGAUACAAAUUGGUAUGCUGACAGUGGGGCUUCAGAUCACAUCACUAGGAACUUGGAGAAGAUGACUGUUAAGGAGAAGUAUGGCGGCCGAGAUCAAGUUUAUUCUGCAAGUGGCCAAGGUAUGAGGAUUAAUAAUGUCGGUCAUGCUAUUUUGCAAACCCCUACUCGCAAUCUAUUCCUAAAAGAUAUCUUACAUGUUCCAAGUACACAUAAAGCCUUGCUUCUGCUCAUCGAUUAAUCUUAGAUAACAAUGUUAUAUUUGAAUUUCAUCGUAAUUUUCUCCUUAUCAAGGAUCGGGCAACGAAGAAAAUUCUCCAUCAAGGAAGAUGUGAGAGGGGUCUCUAUCCUUUGGUGCUAUGUCCAGUAGAAGGAAGUUCGAAUAAAGAGGUGCUAGCUACAGUCAGACCAUCCAUAAAACAGUGGCAUAGCCGCCUAGGUCAUCCAGCUUUUCCUAUAGUGUCUCAUGUCAUUAGAGAUCAUAAUCUACCUUUUGUCAGUAAUAAAAAUAUUGAGUCUGUAUGUGAUUCUUGCCAAAGGGCUAAAAUCCAUCAGCUUUCUUAUUCCAUAUCAGAAAAUGUUUCCUCCACUCCGCUUGCUUUGAUUCACUCUGAUGUCUUGGGACCGACACCUAUGUCUGUUGGAAGGUUUACCUACUAUGUUAGCUUAAUUGAUGACUUCAGUAAACACUCGUGGAUUUACCUUCUUAAAAAUAAAUCCGAUGUGUUCAAUGUGUUCCAUGCUUCAUUGAUGUAACAGAAGGUUGUUUUGGAUAGAGAUAGGCUGGAGAUAGACCUAGUUUGCAUCAUAUUCUUAUGAAUCAAGUUGUAACUUAUCUCUAUGUAAUCUUGACAGCCUUAUUGCAUAUAUAAUAUGGAAUCGUGGGAUGAGAGUUUGCUAACCAUGUUUACUAGUUUGCCUUAUAUUUUUACACUGGGCACCUCCAAUUAGCCUUUACAUGGAUUAGCUAGUGUUAUGUGGUACUGGUACUUCGUGCACUAAAAGUAAAACUUUAGUGCAUUCGUACAGUAUUAAAAGCUCAUAUUUGAUCAUUUAGUCCAUUAGAAUAUAUUUUUAAUGCUAAUGAUCACUUAAUAAUUAAGUCAUCUUUUGAGACAUACGCAAUUUUGAAGGCAGCCCCAACUAAAAUUUACUACGUACUUGAUUUUAGUUUUACACCUGUCACUUUCUUAUUCUACUUAGAGGGUGUUUGGAAAGGGGUGCUAAACUUUAGCACCUCACUUUUAGCACUCGAACUCCCAAACAGGGUGCUAAAAGAUGAGUGCUAAAGUUUAGCACCCUUGUUUUCUUUAGCACACCCAAGGGGUACUAAAAGGUGCUAAUGGGUGCUAAAAGUGGUCCCGAAGCUCACUUUUUCCCUAGUUGCCCCCUCUCUUUCCUCUCCACUUUUCCCCAAGCCAGUCAUAAAUGAGGGUAAUGUAGUCAUUUCUCACCCAAUGUGCUAAACUUUAGCACUGUAUCCAAACAACCUCAAGUGCUAAACUUUAGCACUCCAUUUGAGGGUGCUAAAAUUUAACACUGUGCUAAAGUUUAGCAUUGUGUACCAAGCAGAACCUUAAAAACCAAAGAGCGAAAAAAAUUCCGUACGUCCGGGUACUCCGGUCCGUCGGGUCACGGUAGACCCUCCGAUCUCCUUCCGCAGUCCCGCACCCUCUCCCUCCGUCCAUUUCUUCAGCCCCCGCCCCCAAUCCUACCCCAUGCCCGCCGUCUCCGCCGCCUUGCCACCCCAUCUUCCCCCUUCCCCCCGCGCCUGCUGCCGCCGCCCCUCUUUCCUCCCCUGCGCCAAGCCUGCCGCCGCCCCCGGUGACGAGGACCUCAGCGAUAGUCCAGUUCCCCUCUUGCGACGAUGGCGAGGACAAGAGGAGGUGGGAUGAGGACCGGGCGAGGAGGAGUGCAUCUCACUCCCCGUCUGCCAGCACUGCCCUCCAUCGUGCUCUCCCCUCUCCAACCCCGGCCGCCCCGAGCCCUCCAAGUGCACAUACCGGCCCCAAACCAAGAGGUUGGCCCCAGAUCGAGGCGCCCCUGACCUCCGUCCGUGGAGCUGCCCCAAUCUGCCGCCCCCUUCAAGCUGUCGACUGAGACUCAGGCGAGCGCCGUGGAGGCGAGUCAAGCGGGCUCCAGCGGUGCUAUGGAUGGGAUAUUUACCGCCGUCGCUGUGAGGGCUGCCACGAUCUAAGGUUCUGGCCAAUCAAUUUUUCUGGCCGAUCUAAUUGAUGCAAUCCUCCAG
RNAcentral lists this long non-coding RNA (29200 nucleotides) under Setaria italica (foxtail millet). RNAcentral describes it as "long non-coding RNA (SITA_LNC007082)". The stretch from base 26491 to 26622 matches the Rfam family "Small nucleolar RNA Z247". Lineage: Eukaryota; Viridiplantae; Streptophyta; Magnoliopsida; Poales; Poaceae. The record is from RNAcentral.